AUUGAACGCUGGCGGCAUGCCUAACACAUGCAAGUCGAACGGCAGCACAGUAAAGAUUUCGGUCUUUAUGGGUGGCGAGUGGCGGACGGGUGAGUAAUGCGUAGGAAUCUGUCCUGGGGCGUGGGAUAACCCGAGGAAACUCGGGCUAAUACCGCAUAAUAUUGAGAGAUCAAAAGCAGGGGACCGAAAGGCCUUGCGAUCUGGGGUGAGCCUACGUCGGAUUAGCUAGUUGGUGGGGUAAUAGCCUACCAAGGCGACGAUCCGUAGCUGGUCUGAGAGGAUGACCAGCCACACUGGGACUGAGACACGGCCCAGACUCCUACGGGAGGCAGCAGUGGGGAAUCUUGGACAAUGGGGGAAACCCUGAUCCAGCGAUGCCGCGUGUGUGAAGAAGGCCUUCGGGUUGUAAAGCACUUUAAGUGGGGAAGAAAGGUAGUUAGUGAAUAACUAAUUGCUGUGACGGUACCCGCAGAAUAAGCACCGGCUAACUCUGUGCCAGCCGCCGCUGUAA
RNAcentral lists this ribosomal RNA (511 nucleotides) under uncultured bacterium. RNAcentral's name for it is "partial 16S ribosomal RNA". It matches the Rfam family "Bacterial small subunit ribosomal RNA", at positions 30 to 523 of the family's 1533-position model. The record is from RNAcentral.